Molecule: ribosomal RNA, 257 nt
Filed under: uncultured bacterium
Lineage: Bacteria
Description: partial 16S ribosomal RNA
Rfam family: Bacterial small subunit ribosomal RNA
Source: RNAcentral
CGGGUGAGUAACACGUGAGUGACCUGCCUUUUAGACUGGAACAACUUACCGAAAGGUGAGCUAAUGCCGGAUGAGUUAUAUAAGUGCAUGUUUAUAUAGGAAAAGUUGGGGAGACCUGACGCUGAAAGAUGGACUCGCGUCCCAUAGCUAGUUGGUAGGGUAAUGGCCUACCAAGGCGACGAUGGGUAGCCGGCCUGAGAGGGUGGCCGGCCACACUGGGACUGAGACACGGCCCAGACUCCUACGGGAGGCAGCAG